GAAUUGCUAGUAAUGGCAGGUCAGCAUACUGCCGUGAAUACGUUCCCGGGCCUUGUACACACCGCCCGUCACACCAUGAGAGUUGGAGAUACCCGAAGCCUAUGAGCUAACUUUUAGAGGCAGUAGUCGAAGGUAGAAUCAAUGAUUGGGGUGAAGUCGUAACAAGGUACC
This 171-nucleotide ribosomal RNA is filed under the name uncultured bacterium. RNAcentral describes it as "partial 16S ribosomal RNA". It matches the Rfam family "Bacterial small subunit ribosomal RNA", at positions 1329 to 1500 of the family's 1533-position model. The record is from RNAcentral.